Aquila chrysaetos chrysaetos is the source of this 630-nucleotide long non-coding RNA. RefSeq lists it as uncharacterized. The transcript is spliced from 3 exons. The record is from RefSeq and is a predicted model, not a curated record. NCBI's taxonomy places the organism in Eukaryota, Metazoa, Chordata, Aves, Accipitriformes, Accipitridae.
CCGCAGCCAAUGGCGCUCAGCGGGGGGCGGGAGCGCGAGCGCGCUGUGGAGGAAUGGGGCGAGGUAUUUGAUAACCUAUUCUGUAUGCAAUAUGCCGUUUUAACAGUCCUGGACCCUGAAGUUCUGCUCAGCCACAAAACAGCACACAAAGCUGACAGCAGGGUGGAUUUGCACAUGCUGCUCACCAUCUGCUCCUUAAUUGUGUUCUGCAGAGACCAUGUCUAAGGACAGAGAUAAGCCAUUUUCUUCAAAUGACUCACCUUUGGACUAAGGCCAAGUAUGAGAACUUCAGCCCCUCAAGUUAAAAGCACUGACAACAGAUUUAGAAUUUCUCACUAUAGUGCACUACACUGGUGCUAUAAUAAAAUUCCUAAUAUUUUAUCUCAUGAGAACAGUUGAUCAUUCCUGUCUAAUACACAAUAAUGUAUCUUUAUCAUAAUUAAUAUGAAUGCCUCUGUAACUGAUGUCCUCCAUCAUGAACUCUUCAAGGCAUCUGUUUUAUGCAUCAAUCAUCAUAACUUUUUUAAUGUGAAAAUGUUUACUGCAAAUUGCUAAAUACAUUUAUUAAUGCAGCAGGGAAAUCGAUAGGUGUGGGAAAUUUAUAGCAACUGUUUGUUAAAGAAUUUUCAA